Molecule: ribosomal RNA, 380 nt
Filed under: uncultured bacterium
Lineage: Bacteria
Description: partial 16S ribosomal RNA
Rfam family: Bacterial small subunit ribosomal RNA
Source: RNAcentral
CCUACGGGAGGCUGCAGUGAGGAAUAUUGCACAAUGGAGGCAACCCUGAUGCAGCGACGCCGCGUGCAUGAAGACGUCUUUCUGUGUUGUAAACUGUAUCUGCAGGAGGGUAACAGGACGUUAGCUGACUAAUAAGACCCUGCUAACUACGUACCAGCAGCCGCGGUAAUACGUAGGGGGCAAGCGUUAUCCGGAUUUACUGGGUGUAAAGGGAGCGUAGACGGUAGGGCAAGUCUGAGGUGAAAGCCCAGGGCUUAACUUCGGUACUGCCUUGGAAACUGUUAGACUAGAGAGUUGGAGUGGUAAGUGGAAUGCAUGGUGUAGCGGUGAAAUGCGUAGAUAUCAGGCGGAACACCAGUGGCGAAGGCGGCUUACCGAGC